CCUACGGGAGGCAGCAGUGGGGAAUAUUGGGCAAUGGGCGCAAGCCUGACCCAGCAACGCCGCGUGAAGGAAGAAGGCUUUCUGGUUGUAAACUUCUUUUGACAGGGAAGAGUAGAAGACGGUACCUGUCGAAUAAGCCACGGCUAACUACGUGCCAGCAGCCGCGGGAAUACGUAGGUGGGAAGUGUUGUCCGGAUUUACUGGGUGUAAAGGGCGUGUAGCCGGGUUGACAAGUCCGAUGUGAAAUCCAGCGGCGUAAACGCAGAACUGCAUUUGAAACUGUUGAUCUUGAGUACUGGAGAGGCAGACGGAAUUCCUGGUGUAGCGGUGAAAUGCGUAGAUAUUAGGAGGAACACCAGUGGCGAAGGCGGUCUGCUGGACAGCAACUGACGGUGAGGCGCGAAAGCGUGGGGAGCGAACAGGAUUAGAUACCCCAGUAGUC
RNAcentral lists this ribosomal RNA (442 nucleotides) under uncultured bacterium. Its description in RNAcentral is "partial 16S ribosomal RNA". It matches the Rfam family "Bacterial small subunit ribosomal RNA", at positions 338 to 795 of the family's 1533-position model. The record is from RNAcentral.